This 1542-nucleotide ribosomal RNA is filed under the name Vibrio parahaemolyticus. Its description in RNAcentral is "partial 23S ribosomal RNA". It matches the Rfam family "Bacterial large subunit ribosomal RNA", at positions 1 to 1593 of the family's 2925-position model. Lineage: Bacteria; Pseudomonadati; Pseudomonadota; Gammaproteobacteria; Vibrionales; Vibrionaceae. The record is from RNAcentral.
GUUGUAUGGUUAAGUGACUAAGCGUACACGGUGGAUGCCUUGGCAGUCAGAGGCGAUGAAAGACGUAGUAACUUGCGAUAAGCCCAGAUUAGGUAGUAACAACCAUUUGAGUCUGGGAUUUCUGAAUGGGGAAACCCACGUGCAUAAGCACGUAUCCUUACCUGAAUACAUAGGGUAAGGAGGCGAACCGGGGGAACUGAAACAUCUAAGUACCCCGAGGAAAAGAAAUCAACCGAGAUUCCGAAAGUAGCGGCGAGCGAAAUUGGACUAGCCCUUAAGCUUUACACGCGUUAGACGAACGGUCUGGAAAGUCCGACGAUACAGGGUGAUAGUCCCGUAGUUGACGACGUGUGUUCAGUGAAAUCGAGUAGGGCGGGACACGUGAUAUCCUGUCUGAAUAUGGGGGGACCAUCCUCCAAGGCUAAAUACUACUGACUGACCGAUAGUGAACCAGUACCGUGAGGGAAAGGCGAAAAGAACCCCUGUGAGGGGAGUGAAAUAGAACCUGAAACCGUGUACGUACAAGCAGUAGGAGCAGGCUUCGUCCUGUGACUGCGUACCUUUUGUAUAAUGGGUCAGCGACUUAUAUUCAGUGGCAAGGUUAACCAUCUAGGGGAGCCGUAGGGAAACCGAGUCUUAACUGGGCGUUCAGUCUCUGGAUAUAGACCCGAAACCAGGUGAUCUAGCCAUGGGCAGGUUGAAGGUUGAGUAACAUCAACUGGAGGACCGAACCGACUAAUGUUGAAAAAUUAGCGGAUGACUUGUGGCUAGGGGUGAAAGGCCAAUCAAACCUGGAGAUAGCUGGUUCUCCCCGAAAGCUAUUUAGGUAGCGCCUCGGACGAAUACUACUGGGGGUAGAGCACUGUUAAGGCUAGGGGGUCAUCCCGACUUACCAACCCUUUGCAAACUCCGAAUACCAGUAAGUACUAUCCGGGAGACACACGGCGGGUGCUAACGUCCGUCGUGGAGAGGGAAACAACCCAGACCGCCAGCUAAGGUCCCAAAUUACUACUAAGUGGGAAACGAUGUGGGAAGGCUCAGACAGCCAGGAUGUUGGCUUAGAAGCAGCCAUCAUUUAAAGAAAGCGUAAUAGCUCACUGGUCGAGUCGGCCUGCGCGGAAGAUGUAACGGGGCUAAGUAGUAAACCGAAGCUGCGGCAAUACUCUUUGAGUAUUGGGUAGGGGAGCGUUCUGUAAGCGGUUGAAGGUGUGUGGUAACGCAUGCUGGACGUAUCAGAAGUGCGAAUGCUGACAUGAGUAACGAUAAAGGGGGUGAAAAACCUCCUCGCCGGAAGACCAAGGGUUCCUGUCCAACGUUAAUCGGGGCAGGGUAAGUCGACCCCUAAGGCGAGGCCGAAAGGCGUAGUCGAUGGGAAACGGGUUAAUAUUCCCGUACUUCUUACAAUUGCGAUGGGGGGACGGAGAAGGCUAGGUGGGCCUGGCGACGGUUGUCCAGGUUCAAGUGCGUAGGCUUGAGAGUUAGGUAAAUCCGGCUCUCUUUAAGGCUGAGACACGACGUCGAGCACCUACGGGUGUGAAGUCA